UAUAGCUCAGCUGGUUAGAGCGCACGCCUGAUAAGCGUGAGGUCGAUGGUUCGAGUCCAUUUA
This 63-nucleotide transfer RNA is filed under the name Bacillus cereus. RNAcentral describes it as "tRNA-Ile". It matches the Rfam family "tRNA", at positions 6 to 65 of the family's 71-position model. From Rfam's summary of the family: Transfer RNA (tRNA) molecules are approximately 80 nucleotides in length. Their secondary structure includes four short double-helical elements and three loops (D, anti-codon, and T loops). Further hydrogen bonds mediate the characteristic L-shaped molecular structure. tRNAs have two regions of fundamental functional importance: the anti-codon, which is responsible for specific mRNA codon recognition, and the 3' end, to which the tRNAs corresponding amino acid is attached (by aminoacyl-tRNA synthetases). tRNAs cope with the degeneracy of the genetic code in two manners: having more than one tRNA (with a specific anti-codon) for a particular amino acid; and 'wobble' base-pairing, i.e. permitting non-standard base-pairing at the 3rd anti-codon position. Lineage: Bacteria; Bacillati; Bacillota; Bacilli; Caryophanales; Bacillaceae. The record is from RNAcentral.